GCCUCGAUGGUCUAGUGGUAUGAUUCCUGCUUUGGGUUCUACAACACAUUGCAGGAGGUCUCCGGUUCAAUCCCGGAUCGAGGCC
This 85-nucleotide transfer RNA is filed under the name Coniella lustricola. Its description in RNAcentral is "tRNA-Pro". It matches the Rfam family "tRNA". Rfam says of the family: Transfer RNA (tRNA) molecules are approximately 80 nucleotides in length. Their secondary structure includes four short double-helical elements and three loops (D, anti-codon, and T loops). Further hydrogen bonds mediate the characteristic L-shaped molecular structure. tRNAs have two regions of fundamental functional importance: the anti-codon, which is responsible for specific mRNA codon recognition, and the 3' end, to which the tRNAs corresponding amino acid is attached (by aminoacyl-tRNA synthetases). tRNAs cope with the degeneracy of the genetic code in two manners: having more than one tRNA (with a specific anti-codon) for a particular amino acid; and 'wobble' base-pairing, i.e. permitting non-standard base-pairing at the 3rd anti-codon position. The record is from RNAcentral. Lineage: Eukaryota; Fungi; Ascomycota; Sordariomycetes; Diaporthales; Schizoparmaceae.